Molecule: transfer RNA, 75 nt
Filed under: Nitrososphaeria archaeon
Lineage: Archaea; Thermoproteati; Nitrososphaerota; Nitrososphaeria
Description: tRNA-Gln
Source: RNAcentral
CGCUCGGUCAGAUGCUGGGCUAAGGAUCGCGGGCUCUGGACCCCGCGGACGCCGGUUCGAAUCCGGCCCGGGCUA